CGAAAGGUUAUUUCUUUUACAACUAAUUUGGGCAGUUUUACUGCCCAUCUUCAAUCUUCAUGCUAGUAAUAAUUACAAAAAUAUUUAUACAAUUGCUAAAAUAAUUAUUAAAGUAAUUGUAGGCAUUAAUGUAUUUAUUUUCAGCCUAAAACGUCGCAAAAGUAACAGAAACCUUUCGGAGGUCACGCAUGUAGGGGGUCAUGGGAAAAAAACUCGGAGUAGAAAGGGGGCUACUGGAAAUUUCCCUGCAUAUGCUGGGGGGUCAAGACGAAAUUAUCAAUGAAAGCACCCAAAACCACCAGCCCCCCCCCCUCCUGAUAAAAAAU
Molecule: non-coding RNA, 326 nt
Organism: Paramuricea clavata
Lineage: Eukaryota; Metazoa; Cnidaria; Anthozoa; Malacalcyonacea; Plexauridae
Source: the annotation of a GenBank genome assembly